GUCCAACCUCCCAUCCGUGUCUAUCUGUACCCUGUUGCUUCGGCGUGGCCACGGCCCGCCGAAGACUAACAUUUGAACACUGUCUGAAGUUUGCAGUCUGAGUUUUUAGUUAAACAAUAAUUAAAACUUUCAACAACGGAUCUCUUGGUUCCGGCAUCGAUGAAGAACGCAGCGAAAUGCGAUAAUUAAUGUGAAUUGCAGAAUUCAGUGAAUCAUCGAGUCUUUGAACGCACAUUGCGCCCCCUGGUAUUCCGGGGGGCAUGCCUGUCCGAGCGUCAUUGCUGCCCUCAAGCACGGCUUGUGUGUUGGGCUUCCGUCCCUGGUAACGGGGACGGGCCCAAAAGGCAGUGGCGGCACCAUGUCUGGUCCUCGAGCGUAUGGGGCUUUGUCACCCGCUCCCGUAGGUCCAGCUGGCAGCUAGCCUCGCAACCAAUCUUUUUAACCAGGUUGACCUCGGAUCAGGUAGGGAUACCCGCUGAACUUAAGCAUAUCAAUAAGCGGAGGA
This 505-nucleotide ribosomal RNA is filed under the name Aspergillus niveoglaucus. Its description in RNAcentral is "eukaryotic LSU rRNA". The stretch from base 125 to 278 matches the Rfam family "5.8S ribosomal RNA". Lineage: Eukaryota; Fungi; Ascomycota; Eurotiomycetes; Eurotiales; Aspergillaceae. The record is from RNAcentral.